Neopsephotus bourkii (Bourke's parrot) is the source of this 3011-nucleotide RNA transcript. It is a transcript of the gene named histamine receptor H2, with no coding region annotated. The record is from RefSeq and is a predicted model, not a curated record. The transcript is spliced from 4 exons. NCBI's taxonomy places the organism in Eukaryota, Metazoa, Chordata, Aves, Psittaciformes, Psittacidae.
GAGGCAGCAGCAUCCCGCAGCACACGCUCCUGCCUUCACCAACUGAGCCACACACACCGGGGGAAAGUUGGAGGCAGCGCAGCCACCGAGGGCUUCCACCGGCUGCGGGUGGAGGGAAAGCAGCAUCUCUCCCAGGUUGUCCUCAGGAAGGCAAAGCUCUGUCCCAGCUGGAGCACUGCAGACCGCUGCCACCAACCAAACAUGCAGAGCACAUGAGACCCCUUGGUUGCUCAGAGAAAAGGAGAAGGCAGCAGAGGAAAAGGGAGCAGUUGAGACCCACCAGCAGCUGCCAUGGGGGAUUGGCUCCAGCACUGACCUCACCAAUGGGGCCAACAAGCACAAGCAAGUCACAGGGCCACAUCUUUCCAUGGGUCAUGUCACUCCUAGCAGGCAAGGAGCAACACUGAAUGUGUGAAUUGACUCUGCAAUGUUCUACAAGGUCAGUGUAGGCCCAAGGUCACUUUGGAAAGGGCUCUAGAGCUGCAUCGUAGAGGCUCACACCAAGAAGCUUUGGAGCCAGUGAGAGCAGGACUGCUCCAUCCAUGCAACUGCACUAUGGAUCCUUGUUACAACCAUACAAGCUCUCAAAAAAGGAUGGACUUCCCCUUGCAGCUGCUGGUUGGGUCCUGCCUCACCAUCCUCAUCAUGGUCACUCUCUGCGGUAACAUCAUCGUCUGCCUGGCCGUCACCCUGGACCGCCGGCUCCGCAGCCUGACGAACUGUAUCAUCGUCUCCUUGGCCAUCACCGACCUGCUGCUGGGCCUCCUGGUGCUGCCAUUCUCUGCCUUUUAUGAGCUCGCCAAAGACUGGCCCUUCGGCAGCACCUUGUGCAACAUCUACACCAGCCUGGACGUCAUGCUGUGCACGGCUUCCAUCCUCAACCUCUUCAUGAUCAGCCUGGACCGCUACUUUGCUGUCACCACCCCACUCCGCUACAGCCAGCUCGUCACUCCCUCCCGGGUGGCUGUGGGUUUGGCUGUUAUUUGGACCGUUUCACUGAUGGUUUCCUUCCUACCCAUUCACCUGGGCUGGAACACCAACGGCACAGCAGUCCAAAACACAGUCCCCAACUGCAACAGGGAGUGCACACUGGAGGUGAACCCUGUGUAUGGGCUCGUGGACUCGCUGCUCACCUUCUACAUCCCCCUGGUCAUUAUGUGCAUCACCUACUACCAGAUAUUCAAGAUAGCAAGGGAGCAAGCCAAGAGGAUAAACCACACAUGGUGCUGCAGCAGCAACACCCACAUGCCGCCCAUGGUGAGGGAGCACAAAGCCACCGUGACACUAGCAGUGGUGAUGGGAGCCUUCAUCGUGUGUUGGUUCCCCUAUUUCACAGUGUUCACGUACCGCGGGAUGUGGGGGGACAGCAGGGUGAAAGGCACACCCAUGUCCAUUGUCCUCUGGCUGGGCUACGCCAACUCAGCCCUGAACCCCAUCCUCUAUGGGACACUCAACAGGGAUUUCCGGGUGGCUUACCAGCACUUGCUGCACUGCUGGAGGACUGGGGGCCCCAGGAGCUCCGGCCUGCCUCCUCCCCAGAAGGCCCAUUCCAGGGGCAGGAACUGCAGGCAGAGCCAGGGCAGGCAGGAGGGUAAACCCCUGAAACUGGAGAUGAGGAACGGGAAGGGGAUCUUGCUGACCGAUGGAGCCCUCAAGAGUGCCAGAGCUUUCCCGUGAGCCUCAGCCAGCCCCCUGCCCUGGGACCCACAUCUCCCAGCCUUCAGCUCCUGGCUGCCCUCUUCCAAAGUCCCAUGAGGUUGAAAGGACAGCACUCAGUUUUCCCCAGGGAGCAACUGGACAGCAGAGGCGAGGGCUGCAGGGACCCCUGCUCUGGCAAACAACAUUUGCCCUGUCCCCCAACAUUGCUGAGGAGCCUUCAUCUGCCCAAGGGGUUGUGUUUGAAGAGCCCCUGGAGGAGCUGCAGAAGAGCUUCUCUCCUGCCCCACUGGGGCCGUGACACCUCCAGUGUCAAGCCCCAUGCCAGCAGGCAGUGGUGCCCAAGGAGCUCGGUCAGCAGCCAACACAUAUCCCCAGCAGGGCUGGGCUAGGGGUGCCCUCCACAGACCCCCAGGGCAGUGGGUCAGGCUCAGAGGGCACAGGAGUAUGAAAGGGGCUCUGGUCUGUGAUCAAGGUCUUGGUGUCAGAGACACCAACCUAGGAUGGAGAAGGCAAGCAUAGACACUGGCUUCCCUGGUACCUUGUCCAACGGACAUACCCAUCCCUCAGAGGGGCCAGAGGUGCUGGCAGAAGUGGGGAUGAUGCCGCAGGAGGGCUAGGCAUGGUGAAUGUCAGCAGCUGUGAGUGCUGGAUGUCCUGCAGCAUCUAUACUUGGGCAAGACUGUCUCCCACGCUGGGGAGGUUUUGACAUGAUUGGUGCUAUCCCUGCUCUCUGUGACUGCUUUACAUCUGCUGUUCCAGCCCCACUUCAAGAAGAGUGGCCCUGGAGCCCCCUGGGAAACAUUGAGCAUCCAGGGUUUGUCCCUGGGCUCUAGCUUCCCCAGCAGGAUCCAAACCAGGAUGUUUCUGCAUCGAGCCUGUGCAGAAGUAAAGCAGUGUUAUAAAAAACUAUUUAACACAGUGAGAAAAUGAGAUAAUGGAUUUCUUUGGGCAUGUUUUGUCCUGGGAAGAUCUUGUCCACUAUACCCUGCCAUGCCACAUCCAUCCCUCUGCUGAGAUAGAGCCUGGACACAGCACAAACUCCCAAGACACAGGUUGCAGCUGCUCCGGGAAGGGCUGGCACGCACACACACACACAGAGCAUCUUGCCCUGUGGGACCAGUGAGAACACCCCCACACACACACCCAUGUACACACAAUCCCCAGCCCCUGAGCUUGUAGGAAGAAGGAGGCCGCCAGCAGCAAGGACUGGGUAGGACUUGAACGAACACCGACGCAUUGCUGUGCUGUAAGAGCUUUUCUCCCGGCCCUGACCCCCAUCACCCGCAGGCACAGCGUGCUCGCUCCGCAUUGCACGGCAUCCCCAGAGCGCAGCGGGGGGCAGGCAGAGCCCU